This 750-nucleotide ribosomal RNA is filed under the name uncultured bacterium. RNAcentral describes it as "bacterial SSU rRNA". It matches the Rfam family "Bacterial small subunit ribosomal RNA", at positions 28 to 883 of the family's 1533-position model. The record is from RNAcentral.
GACGAACGCUGGCGGCGUGCUUAACACAUGCAAGUCGUACGAAGUGGCAAACGGGUGAGUAACGCGUAGACAACCUGCCGUAAAGAUGGGGACAACAGUUCGAAAGGACUGCUAAUACCGAAUGCUUUACGAUGGGUCUGCGUCUGAUUAGCUAGUUGGUGGGGUAACGGCCUACCAAGGCGACGAUCAGUAGCCGGUCUGAGAGGAUGAACGGCCACAUUGGAACUGAGACACGGUCCAGACUCCUACGGGAGGCAGCAGUGGGGAAUCUUCCGCAAUGGGCGCAAGCCUGACGGAGCAACGCCGCGUGAGUGAAGAAGGGUUUCGACUCGUAAAGCUCUGUUGUCGGGGACGCGGUACCUGACGAGGAAGCCACGGCUAACUACGUGCCAGCAGCCGCGGUAAUACGUAGGUGGCGGGCGUUGUCCGGAAUUAUUGGGCGUAAAGGGAGCGCAGGCGGGAAGGUAAGUCUAUCUUAAAAGUGCGGGGCUCAACCCCGUGAGGGGAUGGAAACUAUCUUUCUUGAGUGCAGGAGAGGAAAGCGGAAUUCCUAGUGUAGCGGUGAAAUGCGUAGAUAUUAGGAGGAACACCAGUGGCGAAGGCGGCUUUCUGGACUGUAACUGACGCUGAGGCUCGAAAGCGUGGGGAGCGAACAGGAUUAGAUACCCUGGUAGUCCACGCCGUAAACGAUGAAUGCUAGGUGUAGGACUGUGCCGGAGUUAACGCAAUAGCAUUCCGCCUGGGGAGUAC